GAUGAAGAACGUAGCGAAAUGCGAUACGUAAUGUGAAUUGCAGAAUUCAGUGAAUCAUCGAGUCUUUGAACGCACAUUGCGCCCCCUGGUAUUCCGGGGGGCAUGCCUGUCCGAGCGUCAUUUCAACCCUCAAGCCCUCGGGUUUGGUGUUGGGGAUCGGCGAGCCUUUCUGGCAAGCCGGCCCCGAAAUCUAGUGGCGGUCUCGCUGCAGCCUCCAUUGCGUAGUAGUAAAACCCUCGCAACUGGAACGCGGCGCGGCCAAGCCGUUAAACCCCCAACUUCUGAAUGUUGACCUCGGAUCAGGUAGGAAUACCCGCUGAACUUAAGCAUAUCAAUAAGCGGAGGA
Molecule: unclassified non-coding RNA, 346 nt
Filed under: soil metagenome
Description: partial contains 5.8S ribosomal RNA, internal transcribed spacer 2, and large subunit ribosomal RNA
Rfam family: 5.8S ribosomal RNA (bases 1-120)
Source: RNAcentral